Molecule: unclassified non-coding RNA, 474 nt
Filed under: Hevea brasiliensis (rubber tree)
Lineage: Eukaryota; Viridiplantae; Streptophyta; Magnoliopsida; Malpighiales; Euphorbiaceae
Source: RNAcentral
GAGGCAAAAAUAAGGAAACUUGAGGUUCUUUUCUUCCUGCAUGUUUCUUCACGCAGUUUUAAGUAACUCAUAGGACAUUUUCAUCUUAUAAUCAACCUUGGUGUGGUAGAAAAUUAAGUUGCUUCCUGACCAUAAUCACAACUAUUUCCUUUCUUCUUAUUUAUUAACUUCACCGUGCUUUAUAAUAAAAAAAUUUUAAAAAAAAUACUAUGUUUUAACGCUAGUGCUGAAAUUUGAGAAGGUCAUAGCCUUAGCCGAGUGUAUGUCAUUGUCGGUUGCUGGAAUUGAAUGGGCCCAUAGCACAUGAUGCAGAACUUGAGAGAAUUGGUAGAUUUGUAGAUCUUUCACUUUAGGAUGAAUCAUCUUUAACAAUACCCAAGGAUUGGAUAAACAAAUUAAGCAAUGAAUAUGGCAUCUUGAUGCCAAAUUCUUAGUCUUUGUGUGUGUGGAAAAUACAGUUUUUUUUUUUUUUAA